RNAcentral lists this ribosomal RNA (253 nucleotides) under uncultured bacterium. RNAcentral's name for it is "partial 16S ribosomal RNA". It matches the Rfam family "Bacterial small subunit ribosomal RNA", at positions 524 to 776 of the family's 1533-position model. The record is from RNAcentral.
UACGUAGGGUGCGAGCGUUGUCCGGAAUUACUGGGCGUAAAGGGCUCGUAGGCGGCCAACUAAGUCAGACGUGAAAUCCCUAGGCUCAACCUAGGAACUGCGUCUGAUACUGGAUGGCUUGAAUCCGGGAGAGGGAUGCAGAAUUCCAGGUGUAGCGGUGAAAUGCGUAGAUAUCUGGAGGAAUACCGGUGGCGAAGGCGGCAUCCUGGACCGGCAUUGACGCUGAGGAGCGAAAGCUAGGGGAGCAAACGGG